Molecule: long non-coding RNA, 4521 nt
Organism: Neopelma chrysocephalum (saffron-crested tyrant-manakin)
Lineage: Eukaryota; Metazoa; Chordata; Aves; Passeriformes; Pipridae
Exons: 2
Source: RefSeq, a predicted model, not a curated record
GCCUCUGUCUGCUGCUUUUUGUCUUUUUCACUUGAAAUGCUGCAGGGCUGCCCUGGUCCCACCCUGCAGAUUGUAAUGUUUGGAAAAGGGAGAAGAUGAGAACUAUCCCUUUCUCACUGUCAUUAAUUACAAGUAUUAAACACCAAGGCAGCUACACAACAUUACAGACAAAAUAAAAAUACGAGUUGGAGGAGCCAAGUUCUGCAUUUGCUGCUCCACAAUCAAGAUAUGUCUGAGCACAUCACGUGCCAGAAGCACAUCCCUCAGUUCCAGUCCUGCUCCUGGUCUGGCUGGUCCAGUCAGGACUCAGAGAACCAGGUCCAUCUUUUUCCUGUGUGAUGGUGGUGGUGGUGAUGGUGGUGAUGGUUGUGGUGGUGGUGGUUGUUUUGUUGGUCAUGGUCAUUGUGGUCCCCAAAGUGCAUCUCCCACCCUCGUGCCAGGGCUGGGGAUUAUUUCCCAGGGAAGGUGGUGCCUCUCACAAGGGGUUUGGUGGGGUCCCCUCUGCCUGAACCCCCCAGGACUGGGGGUUUCCCACCACCAGGGUUGUGUGAGAUCCCUCCCCAGCCUGUGCUGUGCUGGUUUGGUGGGAGAAGCCUUCGCUGUUGCUCUGGGCUGUCUCACGCUCUGCCUCGGCUUGUAAUUAAAAAUGAAAUAUUUGGGCUAAGUGCUGAAAUUAAGAACACGUUUUUGAUAGCUCACAAUACAGAGGAAAGCCCUGGAGACCCUGAUAGGGCAAUUAGUGCCUCUCCACUUGCAUUGGAGAUGAGUCUUUUGAGAGAGGAAGCCUGUUCACUCCAGGGGAUUUUUUGGUACAAAAAUGCAAUUACAGGGUAUAAAAGGGAGCAUUUAGAAACAGGCAAAGCGGGAAUGAGUCUGGAGCCUCCUUUGCUGCAGGACUGGGAAGGCAGAAGGUAAGAGGUGCCCCAGGCAUGACACCCCAAACACUUCCCCUUCAACCUGCCGGCCCUGGCAGCAGCUCCCAUCAACUCGUGGUUUCAUUUCCCUCCCGUCUACCUCUCCUGGCUGCUCUUCCAGGCUCGGCUGCUGUUCCAGGCUCAUCCCUUGGCCUCAGCAAUCUCCCAGCUGCUCCAGGCUCGGGAGGCUGGGUGGUUGCUAUCCCAGUUGGCAAUGAGCUUUUGCACUGCUCAGCACAAACCGGAGGAAUCCACCUCCACGGUCCAAGCGUCGUGUGCCGGGGCCGCCUCCUCCAGCACAGCUCUGCUUCCCCCCUCCCUCUCUCCCUCUAAGCAUCUCUGGAGCUGGUGUAUUGUUUAGAACAAAGCCUCGAGGGGCUGUGGCAGCUUCCCAUGAUCAAUCCCAACACCAUGUUGUCCCGGGGUGAUGAGCAAGCCGUGAGCCCUCGCACGGUGUGUGGGGGAUGAGGAGGCUCCGCCACGCUCCCCACGCUCCCACCUGAAAUCCAACUGGUGGACACCAACCCUGGGAGCCUAAAAAAGGUCUGCAGCAAGCAGAGCUCGUGGAGGAAGGUGGUGGUGACCUGCACAGAGCCAGCACAAGGGCAGGGCUGCCUGCACGUCCCUGCAGAGCGGGUGACACGGGGCUGUUUGUCUUGGACGUGCUGGGAUGGGCUGGGAAACAGCGCCGACCUCUUGAGCAACACUGGGGGUUUUUGGCCGGCCGGGCAGUGGCUCAGCUUGUGUCGAGUUUAUAAGAUCUGAUUUCCAAGAUAGGAAAAAACCAAAACAACCCUGUCCAAUGGCCAGACUCGCCCUUGCCAAGGAGGAAGGGAACAGUCGGUGUCGUUAAAGGUUAAAUAACAGCAAAUCACAUUUCUCGUGCCGGGCCGUGUGUGCACUUUAUUUAAUCAGUGUUUAGUUUGUUGAAUUACUUUUAUUGGGAGUUAACUGUGUAGUGGUCUCAGUAGAACAUCUGGUCCAUGAUUUGGAAAGAAUAUUCUUCGACCCUUGCUGACUGCAAUUAUUUUUGGAGACAAGUGGAGGCUUUAGAGGCAUUAAGAAGAUAAAAUGCAGAUUGUUUGCAGAAGGGUUUUUAUUUUAUUUUAGUGGCUUUCAGAGAGAGGAACUUUUAUUAUUUUUUUUGGUCUAUUCUUAGCAGACAGUGCAGUGAAAACCGAGGAGAAGAGCUGGGAAGAGGCACAGAUGUUCCCUUUGCCAUUGGCUGGGCCAGGCACCCAAACCCAAGGCAGAGGGUUUGAACCUCCCUCCAAAGCUGCUGUAACAUUUUCCAAGACUUGCAAUAGCUCCUCUGCCCACCAGUUUCCCAGUAAAAUCACUGAGGGCUGGUAUGGGACUCUCUGUAUAAUAAUUUGAAAGUGUGACAGUUGAUGAGACAAGGAUAGUUUACAAAGUAGAGAAAAUGAAGGGCUUUGUGCUUCCUUCCAUCGAUGGGAAAAUCACAGAUGGAUCCCAAACUUCCAGCUCUCAGCCCAGCACCAGUUCAUCCAGACCACAAAAGAGAACAGCCAAUCUCCCAUUUGGAGUCUAUGAUGGAAGAUGGGACACCUUUAUCCCCAAGAGUAAAUACUCUGAGGGAAAAAAAAGCAGCAUUAAUUUAUCAGUAUUAUAAUUUAUAAGUAUCUCAUGAGUUAAUUGUCGUUGUACAUCGUAUCCCUCCAUGGAGGAGGCUGGCUGACUCCUCUGUGUCUGCAAGAACACUGAUUUCAAUUAUUUAGAGGAAAAUAUACAAUCUUGGUUGCUGUUUGCUCUAUGAUGGUGCAUCUUGUCCAGGGGAAAACCACAGGCAGACAGGCUGGGAAAUUAUGGCUGUUUUUUUAGCAGGAAGAUAAAGUAGAACUGUUAAAGCAGGGAAGGAUGGAUGCUUGGAUAUCCUGGGGGCAUGUUGUUAUGGGCAAGAUCAUGGAUUUGAGAAGGACCUUGGGUGGCUUUGGAAGGGUCAAUAAUACUAAUACUAAUACUAAUAAUACAAGUAUCAUUGGUGUUUUAUUCCAGCACCUCCAUAUACCUUGAUUUUUUGGAAAUGCCCUCAUGUUUCAAAACUAUGAAGGGAAGAAAAGGAAAGGGAGUGAACUUCUCAAUCACAAACUGAUUUUCAGUGUUUGUUAUACUGAGGGGAGGGGGGAAAAGCCCUUUCAUUCUCAAUCCCCAAUUGAAAUUGUUCAUUAAAAAGCACCAGUAAAUUGGGAUGGUCAAAAGCAAACUGCAGAGCAGCAAGAUGUUACUUCCCACUAGUAGAGAUGCUGUAGGUGUGUGUAUAACCACAAUAUCAGCCAGUGGGGAAGAUCCUUCCCCUUCCCAGGCAGCUUUUGUGGCACCACAUCCCUGCCCAGCUUUUCCGGAGGGGUUUUUUUUUGUGUGUGUGUUUCUAUUUGUUUUUCCCCUUCCUGACGUAUUAAUCUCGGGGUCAUCUUAACCUUGGCUCUGUGCUGGCUCUGGGAAAGGGCUGUUGGCAAUAACCCUGCUGGGGGAGCUCUCUGUGGGCACAGUAUUUGGUAAUAAAAGCGACGAUUUUGGAACACGGAGCUCGCGCAGGGAGCUGCACGGCGGGAAUUUGUUAAAUAGCUUAUUCUGCAGUAAAUGCAGCAUAAAUUAAAAACGAAUAAAACAAAAAUCAGAACAAAUGGAAACAGCUAGGAAGGACCCUGAGAGGGCAACUGCUCCAUUCCUAGUGUUUCCAGGAUGGAUGUGUCUGCUGGAUCUGGGCAAUCGACACCCAGAUCAAUCACCCGCCUCCUCCUCUGGCUUUUUUACCAUCAAACCAUGAAAUAUUUGGGCCUUAGCUGCUUGUCAGCUUUGCUUCCUGUUUUCUCACUUUGUUGGAAGUCAACUCCAGUGUUGAGGGCUUUUUUUCCACCAGUAGGAUACAAAAUCAGGAGAAUCAGUUAAUGCCUUGCACUAAAGAAGAGCUGCUGAGCCUGGGUGUGUUUUCCCAGGGGUCUUUAUCUGUCUGCAGCACAGUCGUGUGUGCAUAUCAAAUUAAAAUGAAAUUAUGGCACUGGGACCUCAUGUAGAUCAAUUGUCUCUGUGUAAAAUGCCUCCAGCAUUUUAAACAUGGGUUCCUGCACCAGAGCAAUGGUCUUUGACUUAAUCUGCCUUCCAGGACUGCUUUAGGGGUCACUUACCCCUUUCACACCAGAAAACUCACUGUCUUGCUGCAGAACCAGCAGUAAGAUAUUUUUUGAAGCAAGGAAAUAAUCAGGGUGGUUUUAAUGAGGUUCAGGAGGAGGAGGAGUCUCUUAUCAGCAGAAAAUUCAGCUGUUUUCCCACUCUGUCCUUCCUUGACUUCCUCAUUAACCCCUUGUCACCAAGGAUGAGCACCAGGGCAGGGAAUGCUGUGCAGAGCAGAAAGGGAGUCACUGCCAGAAGGGAAAAGGUUCAAGAGGUCUCCUGCUCCCUCUGAGGCUGGUGGCAGAUAUCAGUGAGCACAGCUGCUUGGGCACUGCCUCCAGGUCUGAGGGGGCAGAAGAAUCUCAGCAGGUGGGUUUCACUGCUCAGCUCAGAGUGAGGAAAAAGGAGGAAUAGAACUAGCGAAAAGCAGAUAUUUCAGGAAUUGCUCCAAAGCUGCUGUUUUCAUUCCAAGGAG